This 348-nucleotide unclassified non-coding RNA is filed under the name soil metagenome. RNAcentral's name for it is "partial contains 5.8S ribosomal RNA, internal transcribed spacer 2, and large subunit ribosomal RNA". The stretch from base 1 to 120 matches the Rfam family "5.8S ribosomal RNA", at positions 35 to 154 of the family's 154-position model. The record is from RNAcentral.
GAUGAAGAACGUAGCGAAAUGCGAUAAGUAAUGUGAAUUGCAGAAUUCAGUGAAUCAUCGAAUCUUUGAACGCACAUUGCGCCCGCCAGUAUUCUGGCGGGCAUGCCUGUCUGAGCGUCAUUUCAACCCUCAUGCCCCUAGGGCGUGGUGUUGGGGAUCGGCCAAAGCCCGCGAGGGACGGCCGGCCCCUAAAUCUAGUGGCGGACCCGUCGUGGCCUCCUCUGCGAAGUAGUGGUAUUCCGCAUCGGAGAGCGAUGAGCCCCUGCCGUUAAACCCCCAACUUUCCAAGGUUGACCUCAGAUCAGGUAGGAAUACCCGCUGAACUUAAGCAUAUCAAUAAGCGGAGGA